GUCUUGGUCUGUUACCCAGGCUGGAGUACAGUGGUGCAAUCUCAGCUCACUGCAACCUUUACCUCCUGGGUUCAAGCGAUUCUCCUGCCUCAGCCUCCCAAGUAGUUGGGAUUACAGGCAUAUGUCUGCUAAUUUUUUUUUUUAUUUUAUUUUAGUAGAGAUGGUGUUUAGUAGAGAUGGCCUCCUGGCCUCAAGUGAUGCACCCCCUUUAGCCUCCCAAAGUGCUGGGAUUACAGGCAUGAGCAACUUCACCUGGCUUCAUAAUUUAUUCUUAUGUAAUUUAUACGUUUUGUACUUACAUGAACUUUUAAACUUUUAACAACAUUUCAAUAUUUAAUAUGCUAUGAAAGUUAAAAUUUAAAAAAAUCAAAAUGCAUCCAUGCAGUUUAUCAGAUGUAAAUAUAGGAACUUGAAAAUGCAGUUAAUGCUUUUACAGAUUAUAAUCAAUUGUUGUUUUACCAGUUACUUUUAAUUUUAUAAAAUUUAAAGCUCAUGAAAGCCUAACAACAUAUAUUUGUCACAAAGUAGUUUUACUUAUUUUUCAAAGAAAUAGUAUGAAUGCAGAAAUGGAUUUCACUACAAAAGUGUCAAAUUUUUUUUCAGUAAUUGGAGUCAUAAGUCAUUUUUAGCCAUCUUACUCCCUUUGAAUUGGUGCUUUUAUGUUGCCUAAGAAUAUGUUGAUACAUUUUCAUUGCCUAAAUUUGGUUGAAGAAUGCUGCGUGUAUAAAGACAAGCUACCACCUGAAAUUCUCAGGUCAACAUUUAAAUUUAAAGGUCUUUUUUAUUGUUGGCUGUUGUGCUAAAUCUUAACCAUAUAGCAAAUCUGAAGUAGCAAUCCAAUCUAUAUUAAAAAACUAAAUAACACUUGAUAUGAUUUGGCUGUGUUGCCACCCAAAUCUUAUCUUGAAUUCUCAUGUAUUGUAGGAGGGACCCAGUGGGAGGUAAUUAAAUCAUGGGGGCAGGUUUUUCCCAUGCUGUUCUCAUGACGAAGUCUCACAAGAUCUGUGGGUUUUAAAAAUGGGACUUUCCCCUCACAAGCUCUCUCUCUGUUUGCCUGCUGCCAUCCAUGUAAGACGUGACUUGCUCUGCCUUGCCUUCCAUCAUGAUUGUGAGGACUCUCCAGCCACAUGCAACUGAUUCCAUGCUGCUGCUCCGCCAUGCUUCACACCAAUCAAUAAGAAGUGUUUCCAGCUGUAUCUACGAAAUGUCUCUCCAGAAUCACUGACAAUUCGGUUCACAUCAUAUGGCAAUUAGAUAAUUUUCUGAUGACUUUUAACUUACCUCCUCUCUUUUGACUUCUCCCUACACCAUAUCAGUGUCCAAAGUGUUGCCAAAACCACUUCGAAAAUGCACAUCUGUUUCUGUCUCUCCCUUAUAUUAUGCCUUCAAAUCAUGACUUCUUAAAAUGAUAUAAGGAAUUUUUACAGUUGGGUAAAAAAUUAAGUUGGAGCCUCCUUUAUAAUUGUUCCUGUACAUUUGCCAUCCCUCCAGACUUAAAGAAUAAAUUGAAGAACUUUGUACAGAAUAUUGACUUUCCUGUUGAUGUGCCAUCAUUUAGUACAGGAGAAACAACUCAGUGUAUACCUAUCUGCAAACUUUUCUAAUGAUAAUUUGUGCCUAUAGUCCUAUACUGAUGUGAAGUGUGAAAAAAUAUAUACCAGGAGAAACAAAGGAGAAUGGCACCAUAUAAUUGGUAGAUUUUCAUCCCAUAGUUUAUUUUCGUAUUUGCCUGCAAGGUCUUUUUUCAUACACUAAAUCAAGCCCUGCCUGUUUUGAAAUCAUCAUCGACACCCCUUCAAAGCACAGUUAAGUACACCUUCUCUGGUUUCACAUGACAAUCUGAUUGCACUGGAUUACAGUCAAAACUUUUGUGUCUGUCUGUGCAAUUUCUGAUGUCCUUAAGGGCAGGGACAAUGUUUUUCCCAAUUUUGUAUUGCCAGUGCCUAGCACAAUCCCUGACUUUUUGUAGAUAGAACUUUUUUCCACCAAUUGUAUAAUUUAAUGAAUCACACAUAUAGACUCUAAUGAUUACAUGAAUAUUAUUAAUUGAUACUCAAUGUUUGUGGUCUAAUAUUAUUUUUCUUGAAAUAAAUUAAGAUAUAUUUAAUAUAAUAAAAUUAAAACUACAAAAUAAAACAAACAUUUAUAACUUGAA
This 2155-nucleotide long non-coding RNA is filed under the name Homo sapiens (human). Its description in RNAcentral is "HSALNT0308046". The record is from RNAcentral. Lineage: Eukaryota; Metazoa; Chordata; Mammalia; Primates; Hominidae.